AGUUUAGGGUUUAGGGUUUC
RNAcentral lists this small RNA (20 nucleotides) under Arabidopsis thaliana (thale cress). RNAcentral describes it as "ATSL079780". The record is from RNAcentral. Lineage: Eukaryota; Viridiplantae; Streptophyta; Magnoliopsida; Brassicales; Brassicaceae.